This 254-nucleotide ribosomal RNA is filed under the name uncultured bacterium. RNAcentral's name for it is "partial 16S ribosomal RNA". It matches the Rfam family "Bacterial small subunit ribosomal RNA", at positions 524 to 776 of the family's 1533-position model. The record is from RNAcentral.
UACGGGGGGAGCAAGCGUUGUUCGGAUUUACUGGGCGUAAAGGGCGCGUAGGCGGCCACCGCAAGUCGACUGUGAAAUCUCCGGGCUUAACCCGGAAAGGUCAGCCGAUACUGCGGGGCUAGAGUGCAGAAGGGGCAACUGGAAUUCUCGGUGUAGCGGUGAAAUGCGUAGAUAUCGAGAGGAACUCCUGUGGCGAAGGCGACUUUCUGGGCCUGCUUUGACACUCAGACGCGAAAGCAUGGGGAGCGAACGGG